UUGAGCGACGGAGUGACAGCCAAAAACUCCUCGGGCGAACAAAUCUCCAGCUUAUUGACAUUGUCCAACAAGUUUCUGUCUCGGACACGUAUGAACUAGGGAUCAAGAAUCUGCACAUUUGCAGUCUUGAUAUGUCGAUAGACUUUUCCUAUGGCUAUUUCGGAUAUGGAUACUCGAAUCAGCUGAAGAGAUUUGACAAAGAGA
Long non-coding RNA from Hemiscyllium ocellatum (epaulette shark), 204 nucleotides. RefSeq lists it as uncharacterized. Lineage: Eukaryota; Metazoa; Chordata; Chondrichthyes; Orectolobiformes; Hemiscylliidae. The record is from RefSeq and is a predicted model, not a curated record. The transcript has 4 exons.